UACAGAGGUCCCAAGCGUUGUUCGGAUUCAUUGGGCGUAAAGGGUGCGUAGGCGGCCAGGUAGGUCUGGUGUGAAAACUCGAGGCUUAACCUCGAGAUGUCAUCGGAAACCAUCUGGCUAGAGUCCGGAAGAGGAAAGUGGAAUUCCUGGUGUAGCGGUGAAAUGCGCAGAUAUCAGGAAGAACACCAAUGGCGAAAGCAGCUUUCUGGGACGGUACUGACGCUGAGACGCGAAAGCGUGGGGAGCGAACAGG
RNAcentral lists this ribosomal RNA (253 nucleotides) under uncultured bacterium. Its description in RNAcentral is "partial 16S ribosomal RNA". It matches the Rfam family "Bacterial small subunit ribosomal RNA", at positions 524 to 776 of the family's 1533-position model. The record is from RNAcentral.